This 500-nucleotide unclassified non-coding RNA is filed under the name Metschnikowia sp. JSKim-2014. RNAcentral's name for it is "partial contains 18S rRNA, ITS1, 5.8S rRNA, and ITS2". The stretch from base 126 to 279 matches the Rfam family "5.8S ribosomal RNA". Lineage: Eukaryota; Fungi; Ascomycota; Pichiomycetes; Serinales; Metschnikowiaceae. The record is from RNAcentral.
GAAGGAUCAUUAAAGAUUGGCCGAGAGGCCUCAUCUCUAUAUCCCUCAACCUCUGUGAACCGUGGACCCUCGGGUCUAUUUUACAAACAUCAGUGUAAUGAACGUAAUUAUCAUAACAAAAACAAAACUUUCAACAACGGAUCUCUUGGCUCUCGCAUCGAUGAAGAACGCAGCGAAAUGCGAUAAGUAAUGUGAAUUGCAGAAUUCAGUGAAUCAUCGAAUCUUUGAACGCACCUUGCGCCUCUUGGUAUUCCGAGAGGCAUGCCUGUUUGAGUGUCAUGAAAUCUCAAUCCCCUCGGGUUUUAGGACCCGGGUCGGACUUGGACAUGGGCGUCUGCCGGUUAAACGGCUCGCCUCAAAUGACUUAGUGGAUCUCUCAGCAUCCGUGACAGACGUAAUAAGUUUUGUCUUGUCCCUUGCAGAUGAGUCCGCUCACAACCUGCCAUCGCGCACUUUUAGACUCUGACCUCAAAUCAGGUAGGACUACCCGCUGAACUUAA